CCAUGGCAAUCCUGGUGGCGUUGCUAAUGGCGUCAGUGGCACUGCCGCUCCUCAUGGUGCCCGACAUGCUCUCUAUGCCAGGCUCCAACGGCGUGGAUCGCGGCGCCGCCCUGUCGCUCCCACGCCCGUGCUUCAGCAGAUCCGUGUUUGAGUCGUGCAUACCUUUAGCCGCCUCCCCUCCAAUGUCCACGACUCUGAUAUACCGUGUUUGUUAGUCUUGACUGGUGUUUGUUCUCCGUAUUGUUGUGCAGGAGGCUGGAGAACAGCAGGGAGAAAAGGGAGUCGUGGAUGGAGACUUGUCCUACAUGGCCGAGCGAGAUCGAGGCUAGCCACCGGUAAUGUUCUUCUCCCGUGCAAGUUCCGCACUGCAUUGAAGCAUCCAACACAUGAUGUAGCUACGUUACAGGUGGGACAUCAGCCAAGUAUGUUUCGAGGUGAGACAUCCAUCAAGUUUGUUUGGAGAAAUUGUGCAGUCCAGCUCCUGCGUGCUGGUCACCGAGCUCCACUGUGUCCAGCUCAUCCGACCAUGUGCUCCACUGCAUCUAGGUCAGCCGAUCUUGUGGCAGAGCUACACUGACGCAAGAGCAAAU
Triticum dicoccoides is the source of this 590-nucleotide long non-coding RNA. RefSeq lists it as uncharacterized. The record is from RefSeq and is a predicted model, not a curated record. NCBI's taxonomy places the organism in Eukaryota, Viridiplantae, Streptophyta, Magnoliopsida, Poales, Poaceae. The transcript has 4 exons.